UACGGGGGGGGCAAGCGUUGUUCGGAAUUACUGGGCGUAAAGAGCUUGUAGGCGGUUUGUCGCGUCUGCUGUGAAAUUUCGGGGCUCAACCCCGAACUUGCAGUGGGUACGGGCAGACUAGAGUGUGGUAGGGGAGACUGGAAUUCCUGGUGUAGCGGUGAAAUGCGCAGAUAUCAGGAGGAACACCAAUGGCGAAGGCAGCUCGCUGGGACGGUACUGACGCUGAGACGCGAAAGCGUGGGGAGCAAACAGG
Molecule: ribosomal RNA, 253 nt
Filed under: uncultured bacterium
Lineage: Bacteria
Description: partial 16S ribosomal RNA
Rfam family: Bacterial small subunit ribosomal RNA
Source: RNAcentral